AACGAACGCUGGCGGCAUGCCUAACACAUGCAAGUCGAACGAGACCUUCGGGUCUAGUGGCGCACGGGUGCGUAACGCGUGGGAACCUGCCCUUAGGUUCGGAAUAACUCCCCGAAAGGGGUGCUAAUACCGGAUAAUGUCUUCGGACCAAAGAUUUAUCGCUUUUGGAUGGGCCCGCGUUGGAUUAGCUAGUUGGUAGGGUAAAAGCCUACCAAGGCGACGAUCCAUAGCUGGUCUGAGAAGAUGAUCAGCCACACUGGGAAUGAGACACGGCCCAGACUCGUACGGGAGGCAGCAGUGGGGAAUAUUGGACAAUGGGCGAAAGCCUGAUCCAGCAAUGCCGCGUGAGUGAUGAAGGCCUUAGGGUUGUAAAGCUCUUUUACACGGGAUGAUAAUGACAGUACCGGGAGAAUAAGCACCGGCUAACUCCGUG
RNAcentral lists this ribosomal RNA (433 nucleotides) under uncultured bacterium. Its description in RNAcentral is "partial 16S ribosomal RNA". It matches the Rfam family "Bacterial small subunit ribosomal RNA", at positions 29 to 507 of the family's 1533-position model. The record is from RNAcentral.